Molecule: long non-coding RNA, 1553 nt
Organism: Rosa rugosa (rugosa rose)
Lineage: Eukaryota; Viridiplantae; Streptophyta; Magnoliopsida; Rosales; Rosaceae
Exons: 5
Source: RefSeq, a predicted model, not a curated record
AGGAGGGGUUUGGUUUUCCUAGCUAUUGAAUUUUUGAUUUGUUGUAGCGUUUUGGAUUGUGAGUUUGGGUUUGUUUUGUGAACAGGAGAGAUCCAAGAUUGGGGUAGCAUUUUGUUUUGUGAAUUUCAAUUUGGUUUCUAUCAGAACGAUUGACAAGGGUGAAAAUUUGGGUUGUGAUUUUGUUUUUGAAAUUUGAAGUGUUUUUGAUUAAAUUGUUCAUAGAUUGAAUUUUGCUUGGUAAGAUUUCAGCUUAGUAAAAUCAACAUUAGUAUCAUAAUUAUUCAUCUUUUGCUCAUAUACCCAAAACGAUUACCUUUAAUUCACCGUUUGUUUUCAUGUUUUCAGCUGUAGUAACUGAUUUCUCAGCUUUUACAAUCUUUCAAAACAAAAGCUUUCAUUGUUUGUUUCUUUUGUUUAUCGAAGUUCAUCUAAUUCCAUGAUUCAUAUACGAAAUUGGGUUUUAUUCUGUAGCCUUGGUUCUAGCUUUUGAAUAGUUCCAAGAACCAAAGUUUGUUUGUUUUUUUUUUUUUUUUUAACACUCUUAGACAGAGAGAAUAAAGUAGAACAAACAAAAGAAAUCCGGUUCUUAAUCUGGUUUUGGGCAAUCAAUUAUAGAAUUAAUCAUAAUGUUACUUCGGUAAUGUUGAAAGAUUUUGGUUUUGUUUAUCCUGUAUUGAAUGAAUUUAAUCAUAAUGUCAAUUUCUUUUCAGUUUCUUCAGAGCUAAUUGCCUUUUUGGGUUUUCUUUGCAGCUCAAAACUUGAAGGAAGGCCACCAAGUUGCAGGCUCUCACACAAAGUUGCUGGGGUGGGAAAGAGAAGAGGGUGGAUUCAAUUGUGGUGGACUUCGGGGGCAGGGUUUGGGUUUGUUUCUGGAGAGGUGGAUUCGAAAAUUUUGACCGAGUUUGGGGGAUAGUUGUCAGCAGGAAAAGAGGAAAUAGCCGCCUCUGUUGUAGAUAGUGACAAUCCAAUUGGUCAUAUAAUUUUCACAACCAUAGGAGGCAAAAAUGGAGAGCCCAAACAGGUUCUUUUACCUUGCAGACCAUUAGUUAUAUAGCAGAACCUGUUCUGGGAACUGGAUCAUUUGAAAUUGUUUUUCAGGCUGUGGCUAUAAAGAAGGUUUUACAAUGCAGAUUCAAAGAAGUGAGCUCUCUAUUCAGACCAAACACUAAUGGUAAUGAGUUUCCACUUUCAAAUGCAAGCAUUCAAGAGUAUGUCCCUAGCUGGAAAGCAAAUUUGAUGGAGAAGUACAAGAGAAAGCCAUCAAGGAAUUGUUUGAGAAGUUAAAAGACAUAGGAGACGAGGACAUCCGCGCCUUCCAUUGACAACAGCAACAAUUUGGAACCUUCUAGACAUGGUAAUGGUGUUUACUAUUUGGCCUAGAUUUUGCUAAGAUGUAUCAUUACUUACAAAGCUGGAAGUCUCAUAAUAAAUACUCCAUUAUUUUUACUCUUCUUCUUCUACUUUGUUCGACACAUACAGACUGUCAAUUUUGCUGAGUUAUUCCUUUAUUUUGGAAGUCUCAUAAUAAAUACUCCAUUAUUUUUACUCUUCUU